Molecule: transfer RNA, 87 nt
Filed under: Danio rerio (zebrafish)
Lineage: Eukaryota; Metazoa; Chordata; Actinopteri; Cypriniformes; Danionidae
Rfam family: tRNA
About the family: Transfer RNA (tRNA) molecules are approximately 80 nucleotides in length. Their secondary structure includes four short double-helical elements and three loops (D, anti-codon, and T loops).
Source: Rfam by way of RNAcentral
CCUUUGAUAGCUCAGUUGGUAGAGCGGAGGAGUGUAGGUGGGUUGGUGGCAAUCCUUAGGUCGCUGGUUCGACUCCGGCUCGAAGGA